Molecule: long non-coding RNA, 1556 nt
Organism: Archocentrus centrarchus (flier cichlid)
Lineage: Eukaryota; Metazoa; Chordata; Actinopteri; Cichliformes; Cichlidae
Exons: 3
Source: RefSeq, a predicted model, not a curated record
AUCUCUUCCCACGGAAGAGCGAAGCUGCGCCUUUUCCGGCUUCCUCCUCACAUGCUCUGCUGUUUCUUCAGUCGGACUUUGUCCUGCGCUUUUUGCUCUUGACGGUGCAGGCUUCUCUUCAACAUCGUCCCGCCUUUCUCCGCUUCACCUCCAGUGCUAAUAAGACCUGACCCUGCAAGUGAACCGUCAGCUGCGAAGUCUCAGUCGGGCCAGCGGCACCUUGAAUUUUGUUGCUCUUCUAUUGUCCGUAUUACGGGAAUCAUGAGGGUCCAGUGUGCCUGUUUGCUGCUUCUGCUGCUCCCCGCUGCUGCGCUCUCUCAAAGUUAUAAUGACUUUGAACGGAAACACAUCCUUCCACAGAAGGGCUCUCAGAAGUGUGACGACAUGAUGAAAAACAUCAAUGGCAUAAAUCAGUGCAAGCCAAUAAAUACUUUUCUCAAGGCAAAGGUGGAUCAAAUUGUGAAAUUAUGUAGAUCUUACAAAAAUGAUUGGGCCAUCGAUAAGUUUGAUGUUAUUGACUGUAGGAGGAAAAGUCAGAAACCUUGUACAUACACAGAUCUAAACCUCAGAGAGCAGAAGAAGAUAAAAUGUGAAAAUGGCCUACCUGUGCACCUCGAGAAUGCUAAAUAUCAGAAGUCUUCAAGUUGCUGCAGCUGCAAUCAAUUGUCUCUCUUUCUCUUUCUGUCUCUCUGGUUUCUGUAUUUUAUCUGAUGCUGAAAAGUCACGCUCUGUCCCAGCUUUGGCUGCUCCUCAAACCCUUUAAUGUCGGCUCUGCCUGGUUUAUAGAUGCUUCCUAGAGAUUUAACAAUGCGAGUCUGCAGUUCUCUGAAAUGUAUCUGAGGCAGAGAUUAGAACCACAUUAUGAGUAAACUAAAGCAGGCGGGUUUUACCUGCUUUUGCUUUUGUUUGUUUGUUUGUUUUUUACAGUUUCAACUGAGUGCAGGAGCUUUACGAGCAAUUUUUUAUAAGACAAAAAUAAUUUCAAACUAUUUAAAAGUGAUGAAAUCUGCAAAUUUUUAAACUUUUUAUGAAGAGUAAAUACUUGUAUCUUAUGUUUUUCACCAAGCUGGGAAUGUUUAAUAUGUGCUAAAUAAAAAGACGAAGAAUCCCUGAUCAUACGUGUGUCCUGUUUGCUGAAACACUUUAUGUGCUUUUGAUGUCUCCAUAUUGUAGUUUGUGUCAUUUUUAGAUCAGAAGACACUCUCACACAUUCAUUUGAAUGGUUGUCCUCACCCAUUCAUUUGAAUGGGUGAGGACAGCUUAUUUACAUGUAGUUUAGAUUUUUUGUGUGUUGUUGUAAUAAAAGAAUAAUAAAAGAAUGUUAAGAGAUAAUUAUCUCUUAAAGGGCAUUUGAAUUGUUUAAGGUGGAUAAAAAUGUAAUUUAUGUGGUAUUUCUAAUGUAUGGGAGAGUUUGAGGUUUUUUGUUGCUGCAACUUUAAAUGAGGUCUAUACGGUCAGUUUUAUUAGGCGGUCAGGUGCAGUGAGGGGGAGCCACACUUUUUUUUUUUUACCUCUUUCUUGUUUACGCUUUUGGAUAUGAUGGAUGAUUAACAAAC